Molecule: ribosomal RNA, 524 nt
Filed under: uncultured bacterium
Lineage: Bacteria
Description: partial 16S ribosomal RNA
Rfam family: Bacterial small subunit ribosomal RNA
Source: RNAcentral
GACGAACGCUGGCGGCGUGCCUAAUACAUGCAAGUCGAACGAAGCUUUUUUAACUGGUGCUUGCACCGACUUAAACAACUGAGUGGCGAACGGGUGAGUAACACGUGGGUAACCUGCCCCAAAGCGGGGGAUAACAUUUGGAAACAGAUGCUAAUACCGCAUAACCACAGAAACCACAUGGUUUCUGUGUCAAAGAUGGUUUCGGCUAUCACUUUGGGAUGGACCCGCGGCGUAUUAGCUAGUUGGUAAGGUAAUGGCUUACCAAGGCAAUGAACCGUAGCCGAACUGAGAGGGUGAUCGGCCACCUUGGGACUGAGACACGGCCCAAACUCCUACGGGAGGCAGCAGUAGGGAAUCUUCCACAAUGGACGAAAGUCUGAUGGAGCAACGCCGCGUGAGUGAAGAAGGUUUUCGGAUCGUAAAACUCUGUUGUCAGAGAAGAACGUGUGCGAGAGUAACUGUUCGUGCAGUGACGGUAUCUGGCCAGAAAGCCACGGCUAACUACGUGCCAGCCGCCGCCGCGG